RNAcentral lists this long non-coding RNA (378 nucleotides) under Setaria viridis. RNAcentral describes it as "long non-coding RNA (SVIR_LNC007767)". The record is from RNAcentral. Lineage: Eukaryota; Viridiplantae; Streptophyta; Magnoliopsida; Poales; Poaceae.
ACCGGCAGAGCAAGAAGCAAUGCUGAUGAGGAGGAGGACGCCAUGGAUGUGUUGUAGAGGCUAGGCUCUGAUUACUAUGUAAAGAUUAUAUGUGUUUUGGUCAAAGCGUCGGCCCCUAACUUGGGUGCUCAACGUGUGCGUGUUGAUGUGCGUGGAACAGCCCCACGUGUGGCUUUUAUACAGCAGCUACUGUUGGAGGUAUGCCCUAGAGGCAAUCAUAGAGAUGAUGGUAUUCCAUUUGUAUCCAUGAUUUAUAUUGUGUUCCUUGAAUAUCCAUUAAAGGCUACUUGAAUUGAUUUGCAAUUAUGUGAAUUGUGUGUGAAACUCUUUACUUGUAUGGUUAUUCUAAAGUUGUCCCUAGUCGGAGUUCAUGUGAGG